UCCCUGGUGGUCCAGUGGUUAGGACUUGGCACUUUCACUGCCAUGAGCCCAGGUUCAAUCCCUGGUCGGGGAA
Transfer RNA from Ovis aries (sheep), 73 nucleotides. It matches the Rfam family "tRNA". Rfam says of the family: Transfer RNA (tRNA) molecules are approximately 80 nucleotides in length. Their secondary structure includes four short double-helical elements and three loops (D, anti-codon, and T loops). Lineage: Eukaryota; Metazoa; Chordata; Mammalia; Artiodactyla; Bovidae. The record is from Rfam.